Molecule: ribosomal RNA, 546 nt
Filed under: Penicillium chrysogenum
Lineage: Eukaryota; Fungi; Ascomycota; Eurotiomycetes; Eurotiales; Aspergillaceae
Also listed under: 5 other names
Description: partial contains 18S rRNA, ITS1, 5.8S rRNA, ITS2 and 28S rRNA
Rfam family: 5.8S ribosomal RNA (bases 188-340)
Source: RNAcentral
AAGGAUCAUUACCGAGUGAGGGCCCUCUGGGUCCAACCUCCCACCCGUGUUUAUUUUACCUUGUUGCUUCGGCGGGCCCGCCUUAACUGGCCGCCGGGGGGCUUACGCCCCCGGGCCCGCGCCCGCCGAAGACACCCUCGAACUCUGUCUGAAGAUUGUAGUCUGAGUGAAAAUAUAAAUUAUUUAAAACUUUCAACAACGGAUCUCUUGGUUCCGGCAUCGAUGAAGAACGCAGCGAAAUGCGAUACGUAAUGUGAAUUGCAAAUUCAGUGAAUCAUCGAGUCUUUGAACGCACAUUGCGCCCCCUGGUAUUCCGGGGGGCAUGCCUGUCCGAGCGUCAUUUCUGCCCUCAAGCACGGCUUGUGUGUUGGGCCCCGUCCUCCGAUCCCGGGGGACGGGCCCGAAAGGCAGCGGCGGCACCGCGUCCGGUCCUCGAGCGUAUGGGGCUUUGUCACCCGCUCUGUAGGCCCGGCCGGCGCUUGCCGAUCAACCCAAAUUUUUAUCCAGGUUGACCUCGGAUCAGGUAGGGAUACCCGCUGAACUUAA